RNAcentral lists this ribosomal RNA (252 nucleotides) under uncultured bacterium. Its description in RNAcentral is "partial 16S ribosomal RNA". It matches the Rfam family "Bacterial small subunit ribosomal RNA", at positions 524 to 776 of the family's 1533-position model. The record is from RNAcentral.
UACGUAGGUGGCGAGCGUUGUCCGGAUUUACUGGGCGUAAAGAGCGCGCAGGCGGUCGUUCAAGUCGAGUGUGAAAGCCCCCGGCUCAACUGGGGAGGGUCACUCGAUACUGAUCGACUCGAAGGCAGGAGAGGGAAGCGGAAUUCCCGGUGUAGUGGUGAAAUGCGUAGAUAUCGGGAGGAACACCAGUGCGAAGGCGGCUUUCUGGCCUGCUCUUGACGCUGAGGCGCGAAAGCUAGGGUAGCAAACGGG